RNAcentral lists this ribosomal RNA (363 nucleotides) under Fuligo septica var. flava. RNAcentral's name for it is "partial small subunit ribosomal RNA". It matches the Rfam family "Bacterial small subunit ribosomal RNA", at positions 603 to 956 of the family's 1533-position model. Lineage: Eukaryota; Evosea; Eumycetozoa; Physariida; Physaraceae. The record is from RNAcentral.
ACUGGACAGACCUUCUUUGCUCUGGGGUCACUGAUUAUUUUGAGUUCUCAGGCAGUUUAUUSACACUCUCCCCAAGGAAGGGKAAAGAUUGUUGAGAUUGGAAGACAUACGAUAGCGAAAGCCAUAASUGAUUUGGAUCUGACACUAGGUACGAAAGUAUGGGGAUAAAUAGGAGUGUAGAAACCUAGUAGUCCAUACCUUAAACAAUGAGUGUUCAACGUCUAUUUACAAUUAUUUAUAAGUCGAGAGGGGGGGUUUAAAGCCAACGCGUGAAACACCGCCGGGGGAAUGUGGCCGCAAGGUUAAACUCAAAAGAAUUGACGGAAGCUUAUACAGGGGUGGAGAUGUGGUUUAAAUUCGAGA